UCCACGUGGCCGCAGGCAGGUUAAUUAACUGCUUGGAGGCUUGGUUGCCUCACCGGCGUGUCUGCGUGUUUGUUUUUAAAGGAAUGACAAUGGCUCUCCGAGGACUAAAUGAGCUCCGGAAAUGUGUAGCCAGUUGCCUGAAGCCCGUGAACUAGGAAGUGGCUGAGCCAGGAUUUGAGGAGCCUUCUGACUCCUGUGUUCCUUGUACUCCUUUGUCUCUACCACACUCUUUCCCCAAAUGCCCACCUGCCGCAGCCUUUUGGAGCUCCUGUGGUUGGAUAAAGCCAGGGCAAUUCUUUGGAUGUCAAUCAUUUUGAAAGGCGACUUUCUUGCAUGACUUGGUAAGAUCUGAAAGGAGGAUAACCACAAUGGGGAGGCUGUGGUGAAUCGUCCUCAGGCAGCUGGCGGUCUUGAGCAUCGAAAUGUAAUUGCUCUAUUUUAUUCACCACGGCCUGCCCGCUGUGUUCAUCAGACUGCCCAGUGGAACAGAAGGCAAUCAGGGCCGAGGCAGCCUUAGAAAGUCAGGCACACACAAACCAAAGUUAAAAAUAUGUAAAAAAUUACUUGAAUCUGAUUUGCUCUCAUACUACUCAAUUUCUGGAUAAGAACAAGAGGAAACAGUGCAAAACUGGGGCACUAAAAUUCAUCUUCGCUGAAGAAAAUGCAGGGAGAGCUGUGAACAUUUAAUAACCUCAGUAUCCAACUGCCCAUAGUAAGUGCUUGUUUAAUGCAUAGACCAGACAGGGAGAUUCAGAAGGCAGGCAACUCAAGGCCUUUUCAAUUUAUUUAAGGAACUCUUUGAUCUGUUUUGAAAUUUAGGAUUCUGCUUUUGACUUUGUUAGAUAAAGUUGGAGUAGGAAUGAAUUAUUCAUAUGAAAUAUUGCCUCAAUAACACUGCAUCAAAUAAACAUAAUGAAAAGCUGCCCAUGUUAUAUAAGGGAAGCUAAGUCACAACUCUUUUGAAUUGCAAAGUUAAGCACUCCGGGCUAGACUCUUCUCCGACAUUACCCUAUGGAAGAGUCCACUUAGGAGGAUGUAACACUCAGAUCCUUUUUAUUUCCGGUCAGACAUGCAUUUGUGGUUUAUGGGUUUAAACUACAGUUGUAACCAUGCUGUUAUUAAACCUUACAGAAGUAAGUCAAUCGGAGAAGGACAAACAUUAUAUGUUCUCAUUCAUGUGGGGAAUAUAAAUAAUAGUGAAAGGGAAUAGAAGGGAAAGGAGAAGAAAUGUGUGGGAAAUAUC
Canis lupus familiaris (dog) is the source of this 1243-nucleotide long non-coding RNA. RefSeq lists it as uncharacterized. NCBI's taxonomy places the organism in Eukaryota, Metazoa, Chordata, Mammalia, Carnivora, Canidae. The record is from RefSeq and is a predicted model, not a curated record. The transcript has 3 exons.